CCUACGGGUGGCAGCAGUGGGGAAUAUUGGACAAUGGGCGAAAGCCUGAUCCAGCCAUGCCGCGUGUGUGAAGAAGACCUUCGGGUUGUAAAGCACUUUCAGUGGGGAAGAAAGCCUUGGGGCUAAUACCCUCGAGGAAGGACAUCACCCACAGAAGAAGCACCGGCUAACUCCGUGCCAGCAGCCGCGGUAAUACGGAGGGUGCGAGCGUUAAUCGGAAUUACUGGGCGUAAAGCGCGCGUAGGCGGUCUGAUAAGCCGGUUGUGAAAGCCCCGGGCUCAACCUGGGAACGGCAUCCGGAACUGUCAGGCUAGAGUGCAGGAGAGGAAGGUAGAAUUCCCGGUGUAGCGGUGAAAUGCGUAGAGAUCGGGAGGAAUACCAGUGGCGAAGGCGGCCUUCUGGACUGACACUGACGCUGAGGUGCGAAAGCGUGGGUAGCAAACAGGAUUAGAUACCCUUGUAGUC
Molecule: ribosomal RNA, 465 nt
Filed under: Vreelandella stevensii
Lineage: Bacteria; Pseudomonadati; Pseudomonadota; Gammaproteobacteria; Oceanospirillales; Halomonadaceae
Description: partial 16S ribosomal RNA
Rfam family: Bacterial small subunit ribosomal RNA
Source: RNAcentral